AUUGAACGCUGGCGGCAGGCCUAACACAUGCAAGUCGAGCGCGAAAUUUCCUUCGGGAAUGAGUAGAGCGGCGGACGGGUGAGGAACGCGUAGGAAUCUACCUAGUAGUGGGGGACAACAAUCGGAAACGGUUGCUAAUACCGCAUAAGCCCUAAGGGGGAAAGCAGGGGAUCUUCGGACCUUGCGCUAUUGGAUGAGCCUGCGUCGGAUUAGCUAGUUGGUGGGGUAAUAGCCUACCAAGGCAACGAUCCGUAGCUGGUCUGAGAGGAUGAUCAGCCACACUGGGACUGAGACACGGCCCAGACUCCUACGGGAGGCAGCAGUGGGGAAUAUUGGACAAUGGGCGCAAGCCUGAUCCAGCCAUGCCGCGUGUGUGAAGAAGGCUCUAGGGUUGUAAAGCACUUUCAGUAGGGAGGAAAAGUUAGUAGUUAAUAACUGCUAACCCUGACGUUACCUACAGAAGAAGCACCGGCAAACUCCGUGCCAGCAGCCGCGGUAAUACGGAGGGUGCGAGCGUUAAUCGGAAUUACUGGGCGUAAAGCGCGCGUAGGCGGUUUGAUAAGCUGGAUGUGAAAGCCCUGGGCUCAACCUGGGAAUUGCAUCCAGAACUGUCUGACUAGAGUACAGUAGAGGUGAGUGGAAUUUCCUGUGUAGCGGUGAAAUGCGUAGAUAUAGGAAGGAACAUCAGUGGCGAAGGCGACUCACUGGACUGAUACUG
RNAcentral lists this ribosomal RNA (718 nucleotides) under bacterium IMCC4851. Its description in RNAcentral is "bacterial SSU rRNA". It matches the Rfam family "Bacterial small subunit ribosomal RNA", at positions 28 to 742 of the family's 1533-position model. The record is from RNAcentral. RNAcentral also lists the same sequence under 1 other name.